GAUGAAGAACGUAGCGAAAUGCGAUAAGUAAUGUGAAUUGCAGAAUUCAGUGAAUCAUCGAAUCUUUGAACGCACAAUGCGCCCCCUGGUAUUCCGGGGGGCAUGCCUGUCCGAGCGUCAUUACAACCCUCAAGCUCAGCUUGGUGUUGGGCCCCGCCGCCCCGGCGGGCCCUAAAGUCAGUGGCGGUGCCGUCCGGCUCCGAGCGUAGUAAUUCUUCUCGCUCUGGAGGUCCGGUCGUGUGCUCGCCAGCAACCCCCAAUUUUUUUCAGGUUGACCUCGGAUCAGGUAGGGAUACCCGCUGAACUUAAGCAUAUCAAUAAGCGGAGGA
This 329-nucleotide unclassified non-coding RNA is filed under the name soil metagenome. RNAcentral describes it as "partial contains 5.8S ribosomal RNA, internal transcribed spacer 2, and large subunit ribosomal RNA". The stretch from base 1 to 120 matches the Rfam family "5.8S ribosomal RNA", at positions 35 to 154 of the family's 154-position model. The record is from RNAcentral.